This 253-nucleotide ribosomal RNA is filed under the name uncultured bacterium. RNAcentral describes it as "partial 16S ribosomal RNA". It matches the Rfam family "Bacterial small subunit ribosomal RNA", at positions 524 to 776 of the family's 1533-position model. The record is from RNAcentral.
UACGAAGGGGGCUAGCGUUGCCCGGAAUCACUGGGCGUAAAGCGCACGUAGGCGGAUUGUUAAGUCAGGGGUGAAAUCCUGGAGCUCAACUCCAGAACUGCCUUUGAUACUGGCGAUCUCGAGUCCGGGAGAGGUGAGUGGAACUGCGAGUGUAGAGGUGAAAUUCGUAGAUAUUCGCAAGAACACCAGUGGCGAAGGCGGCUCACUGGCCCGGUACUGACGCUGAGGUGCGAAAGCGUGGGGAGCAAACAGG